AUUGCCUAAUGGGUGACCUCAAAAGUGUCAUCAGGAGACAAAAGGGUUAAAUUUGUGACACAGAUUUUAUGAUUCAAAAAAUAUGUGAAGUAUUAUGGUACAGGGAACAGCUUUGUCAUUUGUCACUUCUUGAGGUAGUCAUGAAUAGGCCCCUCAUCUGGUUGAGAAUUUAACUACCCAGUUUCUCUAUGAGAAAAAUUGUUCUCCAGCAGUGUGAAUGAACUAUUCUAUCUAUUGUGGGACUCUUCCAGUUUGUGGAGGAGGGGCUGAGAAGAAAAGGUGGCAUUUAUGGAAUUUGACUGUUCUGCCAGAAGGGUUGUGCUGUCCAGCUGCAGCUGUGGUGGUUGCUGGAAGAGAGCUGGGACAAGGCUUUGCGAUCAGUGCCUUUGGUAGGAUGUCUAGAGAUAGUGGGCAUUUCAUGAGAACCCUGUGGGGAGGCCCCAGUUAGAACACUUUUUGGGAGAUUCCUGCUCUGUCCACCAUAAGAUGAAUAAGAGUUGGGGCAGGGGGAAGAAGGUCUGUGUUAUUGAGCAGUCAAAGUGUGCCCCCCUCAUCAUUGUCUGAGCUCAGGUCCUGAAAGAAGUCAGAGAAAUUAUUAGUCUGGUCAUCGCUCUGGAGCCCAAGGCCACCAAUCUGGUCCCUACAAGAAGGUCUACUCCUGUGUAGAAGCUCUCCAUCUCAGAUGAUUGUCAUCAUAGUGGUCUGUACUGAAGGAUUUGCAGUUCCUGAAAUCCGAGGCAGAGCUUCAGUGGCUGAAGGAGCUGUGAUCUUUCAAGCACAGUGCAGUUGGAGCAGAGCGGGGUGUGUGUAUGUGUGUAAGAGAUAGCACAGGUAAGUGAAACUGUGCCUCAGUCAUUCUCAAGGAUUCAGGGAUCCUUGUAUUUCUUCUUGCUUUGCUUUGAGAUUGAGUGUCCAGCUCUGGUGGUGGUGAGAGAAGUCUCAAGGAAAAAUUGACCAAGGAAAUGUCCCUGGCCUUUUCUUUGUUUGGGGUAACACCAAGCUCCUAAAUCAUGUCGAGGAGACUUAUUUAGUUGAAUGCUCAGCCUGGUUUAGGCUUGUUUGUAGCUAGCUCCUUUAACUUAAAUUAACCUGUUUACCUUUUGCCUUAGGGCUUUAUACCUUUUCUUUUUAUGUCCUACUUUUCUUGCUUCUUCUGUGUCUGUCUGGCAGUUACCUGGUUGGCCCCAGGCAUCUCUUUCUCCCUGGUUCUCUCCUUUCCUUCCCUCUUCUGAGCCUAGAUUUCUCCUCCUGUGUAUUCUCUUUGCCUGACAACCCGGCCUAUUUCUUUUCUUCUUAACUAUUGGCCAUUUAGCUCUUUAUUAGACCGUAGUCAGGCCUUUAUGAGUGCCUUAGUCAGGCAAGGUGAAACAGUAACACAUCUUUUCAUAAUUAAACAAAUGCAGUAUAAACAAAUGUAACACACCUUUACAUAGUUAAUAUUCUACAACAAGGAGAGGCCAUUAUUUUUUUUGGGGGGGGUGCGAAUAGAGUUGGAGAGGCCAGUUACCCCAUUAGAGGAGGCCAGCAAUGUGGCUAGGCAGAAUGACAAAGGCUGCCUACAGGAAGUGACCUCCUCCUGAGUCAUAUAAGCCCCAGGAUUUUGGAAGAUUCCGGGAAGGCUUAGGGUGUCAUCCAGGGGCAGUUACCCUUAGUCCUGGUUUGCUUUCAGUUGAAGUCUUUAUCUUAGAAGAUUACAGUUAGCAAGUAUGCUUCCUUCUUUGUACUUGGCCAGUCUAUGCCACUGCUGCA
RNAcentral lists this long non-coding RNA (1749 nucleotides) under Cricetulus griseus (Chinese hamster). Its description in RNAcentral is "lncRNA (ENSCGRG00015035418.1)". Lineage: Eukaryota; Metazoa; Chordata; Mammalia; Rodentia; Cricetidae. The record is from RNAcentral.